Molecule: ribosomal RNA, 985 nt
Filed under: Aplanochytrium sp. PBS07
Lineage: Eukaryota; Bigyra; Thraustochytrida; Thraustochytriidae
Description: partial Bacterial large subunit ribosomal RNA
Rfam family: Bacterial large subunit ribosomal RNA
Source: RNAcentral
GCAUACGGUGGAUGCCUUGGCAGUCAGAGGCGAUGAAAGACGUGGUAGCCUGCGAAAAGCUUCGGGGAGUCGGCAAACAGACUUUGAUCCGGAGAUGUCUGAAUGGGGGAACCCAGCCAUCAUAAGAUGGUUACCUUACACUGAAUACAUAGGUGUAUGGAGCGAACCAGGGGAACUGAAACAUCUAAGUACCCUGAGGAAAAGAAAUCAACCGAGAUUCCCUUAGUAGUGGCGAGCGAACGGGGACCAGCCCUUAAGCUUGCAUUGUGUUAGUGGAAUAGCCUGGGAAGGCUAGCAAUAAAGGGUGAUAGCCCCGUACACGAAAAUACCUUGCAAGUGAAAACGAGUAGAGCGGGACACGUGAUAUCCUGCUUGAAGAUGGGGGGACCAUCCUCCAAGGCUAAAUACUACUGACUGACCGAUAGUGAACUAGUACCGUGAGGGAAAGGCGAAAAGAACCCCUGUGAGGGGAGUGAAAUAGAACCUGAAACCAUAUGCGUACAAGCAGUCGAAGUCGGGCUUCGGCCUGAUGACGGCGUACCUUUUGUAUAAUGGGUCAGCGACUUACAUUCAGUGGCAAGCUUAACCGAGUAGGGAAGGCGCAGGGAAACCGAGUCCGAACAGGGCGAUUUCAGUCGCUGGGUGUAGACCCGAAACCAGGUGAUCUACCCAUGUCCAGGGUGAAGGUAAGGUAACACUUACUGGAGGCCCGGACCCACGCACGUUGAAAAGUGCGGGGAUGAGGUGUGGGUAGCGGAGAAAUUCCAAUCGAACUUGGAGAUAGCUGGUUCUCUCCGAAAUAGCUUUAGGGCUAGCCUCAAGUGAUGAUUAUUGGAGGUAGAGCACUGUUUGGACGAGGGGCCCCUCUCGGGUUACCGAAUUCAGACAAACUCCGAAUGCCAAUUAAUUUAACUUGGGAGUCAGAACAUGGGUGAUAAGGUCCGUGUUCGAAAGGGAAACAGCCCAGACCACCAGCUAAGGUCCC